RNAcentral lists this ribosomal RNA (497 nucleotides) under uncultured bacterium. RNAcentral's name for it is "partial 16S ribosomal RNA". It matches the Rfam family "Bacterial small subunit ribosomal RNA", at positions 28 to 507 of the family's 1533-position model. The record is from RNAcentral.
GAUGAACGCUGGCGGCGUGCCUAAUACAUGCAAGUCGAGCGAACGGACGAGAAGCUUGCUUCUCUGAUGUUAGCGGCGGACGGGUGAGUAACACGUGGAUAACCUACCUAUAAGACUGGGAUAACUUCGGGAAACCGGAGCUAAUACCGGAUGAUAUUUUGAACCGCAUGGUUCAAAAGUGAAAGACGGUCUUGCUGUCACUUAUAGAUGGAUCCGCGCUGCAUUAGCUAGUUGGUAAGGUAACGGCUUACCAAGGCAACGAUGCAUAGCCGACCUGAGAGGGUGAGCGGCCACACUGGAACUGGUACACGGUCCAGACUCCUACGGGAGGCAGCAGUAGGGAAUCCUCCGCAAUGGGCGAAAGCCUGACGGAGCAACGCCGCGUGAGUGAUGAAGGUCAUCGGAUCGUAAAACUCUGUUAUUAGGGAAGAACAUAUGUGUAAGUAACUGUGCACAUCUUGACGGUAACUAAUCAGAAAGCCACGGCUAACUACGUG